GCCUGUGUGGCUCAGUUGGUUGAGCAUCUGACUUCGGCUCAGGUCAUGAUCUCAUGGCUCGUGAGUUCGAGCCCCGCAUCAGGCU
This is a transfer RNA of Felis catus (domestic cat), 85 nucleotides long. It matches the Rfam family "tRNA". Rfam says of the family: Transfer RNA (tRNA) molecules are approximately 80 nucleotides in length. Their secondary structure includes four short double-helical elements and three loops (D, anti-codon, and T loops). The record is from Rfam. NCBI's taxonomy places the organism in Eukaryota, Metazoa, Chordata, Mammalia, Carnivora, Felidae.